RNAcentral lists this ribosomal RNA (217 nucleotides) under uncultured bacterium. Its description in RNAcentral is "partial 16S ribosomal RNA". It matches the Rfam family "Bacterial small subunit ribosomal RNA", at positions 355 to 563 of the family's 1533-position model. The record is from RNAcentral.
UAGGGAAUCUUCGGCAAUGGGGGCAACCCUGACCGAGCAACGCCGCGUGAGUGAAGAAGGUUUUCGGAUCGUAAAGCUCUGUUGUAGGUCAAGAACGGGUGUGAGAGUGGAAAGUUCACACUGUGACGGUAGCUUACCAGAAAGGGACGGCUAACUACGUGCCAGCAGCCGCGGUAAUACGUAGGUCCCGAGCGUUGUCCGGAUUUAUUGGGCGUAA